Molecule: long non-coding RNA, 361 nt
Organism: Hippocampus zosterae (dwarf seahorse)
Lineage: Eukaryota; Metazoa; Chordata; Actinopteri; Syngnathiformes; Syngnathidae
Exons: 2
Source: RefSeq, a predicted model, not a curated record
ACCACAUCCAAACCCAUUAGCACGUUAAAUAAAACUGAUGGCAUUGUACACUUCCAUCCAUUAUCGCAUUUUCAAGCAGACUGGAUGCUAAUUAUGGCGCUAAUUAGACUUUUUCUAAUGAAAAAUGCUGCAAUUUGAAAUUCAACCAAAAUGUUCGAGAAAAAUAUUCCUGAAAAGUCAAACAAAAUUUCAUUAUGAUUUGGAAUGUAUGAGAUUUAGCUUAAUUGGUAUCUAUAACAUAACUUAUUUGCUUUUUUUCCCUCUAAGGCAGGGAAGAAAGUGUUGCAAUAAUUGCAGAACUGGAACCUAACAGAAAUGAGUCUGCACACAUUUACCAUCCUAUAAUUGAAAAAAAAAGAAA